CGUAGUUGUCAUGCGCUAUUUUUUAACCUAAAUUAGAGGAUGUAAGUCGAGCUGAACCAAAGACAUUUACAUCAAAUUAGGAAUUUGUAGGUCAAGCACCUGCUGUACAUAGAACAACAACCCAUUACAGCUUUGACUAUGCAGAGCAGGUAUUCUACCCAUACUAGGCACAGCAAGAGGGCCCUGCUUUGAAGUGUCUGUAAAUCAUAUGGUUCUCAGAUAUUUAUCUCAGUGAUAAGGGUUUAGCUAUUAUUUGGCCAAUGGUGUGGUAUCUCAUUUUCAACAUCAUCCAUAUGGAGAAGAAUCUGCAUACCUGCACGUUGACAACUGUGUUGGGCAGAGUAAAAACAAUGCAGUCAUUGGGGUCUGAUGUAUUCUGAAGGGGCUACAUAGAGAAAUAGCAUUUACUUAAAUGGAAGCAGGUGAAAUAAAGUUCAGUCCUGUCUGAGAUUUGGUCUGUGGAAGACCAAAUGGAGGCAGCACACAUCAUUUGUGGAUUGAUGACCUUGGCAAACUGGUUAUAUUCUUUGACUGGUUGGAGUACACCAAGAGACCCCUGAAGUCCAUUCCAAACUUGAGGAAAUAUCAUCACUUCAGAACUUCAGCUGACAACCCAGUGAAGUGUAACCAGAGAAAGUUUAACGGAUUAAACUGACGAUAAUGUUGAAAGUGCAGAUAAUAAAUAAACCAUAGCCAAAUGGUUUUUAGCAUUAUAGACGAAAUGUUUGGCGGUUUAGAAGGAAACAGAUGCUGCCGAUGAGUGAGGAUAAGUCUUAGAACUAGUCUCGAUUGCUUGAUGAAGAGGGACGAAACAGAAGCGAGAUUGAAAGUUCUAGUUUCACAUACAAGGUUGCAGCUAUUUCAGGAUGGAUGUUGCAUGGAAGGCAAGGUUUACAAACGAGGUGAAUUGACUCAUUCUAUUGCCAUUUACGAUUACGUAACAAAAUAACGCUUACAAAAUGAGACAGAAUAAAAGAUGGUCUUGUAGACAAGGCUUAACUCAGUAGCCUUUACAUGUUUCAAAUGAACACUUCCAUUCUUCGUGUAUUUAAAUUAGUUUUACUGUAUCGAUAUUUAACUGAAAUCAUUGAUUUUCCCAGAAAAGUACUUGUCAAUUAAAAACAUAGAAAAACACAAACGCUAGAUAAUGACAACAUUAUGGUUGAAAUGUGUAUGGCCAUAUCCAGUUUAUCGUUGUUGGUUUUGAAUUAUAGGUAACUGAGACUCAAAACUAUCUGAUAUUAGAUGCAGCAAUGUAGUUGCUGGCCAUAUAUGUUUUAUGUAAGCGUGUUCCUGACUUGUAAAUAUUUGAAGCUCAUAAUUCUAUGAUAGAUGAAGUAGUGUUUUAUUUUUCAUGGCGUAAUAGGCAUUAAGUGAGAGUCAUAGAUCCAGAUGGCCAAGAAGAUCAUGAUAAUUUUCCAUUAAUAUAAGUGAUAGAUACGUGAAUAAUUUCAGAUAAUUGCAUGAUUCUCAUUUCUUUUUUCAUGACGCCAAUGAUUUAAAUGUAUUUCGCGAUGAGUUAUGUGGACGCAAUGAUUAAAGAGGCAAUAUUUACCGACAGAAGACGAAAUGGGCUGAUCAAAAUAUGGCUUCAUAUUCCACGAACCAUCCCAGAUGUAAGUGAUAACCAAACUUAUAUUAUCUAUAAUAUAGAAUCCUUGGAAAAGAUUAAACAGUAAAUGGUAAAGAUAUUUGUAUGCUUUCGCUGCGAUUCCUGAUUCUAUCCCAUCUGGAUCGGAUGGCUGGUCAUGCCGUGACUGAGUUUCGAAACCUGAAAAAAUGCCAGGCAAAUACAAGCAGCAUAUAAAAUACCACUUAUGAAAGAAACCAUGAAAUAAAUACGAGUCUUUAUGUGCACUGCUCUGUCUGAUAUUGUACUUUCAAAAGUUGUUAUUAAAUAUAAAGUAAGUAAUAAUAUAGUCAUUUCACCUUUGACCAUUUAUAAGAUAAUGAGAAAAUUUACAAAGAUUUCUUCUAUGAAAUCAUUCGAAAAUAAGAAUUUAAUAUCUAUUAAUAUCAGAUAUAUUUUUCAAUUUAAAAUUACAUAAACAAUGUGUCAGUGAAGAGUCUUUUAUUUCAGAUGUAGAAUAUAGGUUGUGUUUAUCGUUAGCAACUUUUAACUUUCGGGUAAGAAAGAGGUAAUAAUAAAAUUAUAAACUUAAGAUUAUUCAUGGAAAUUCGUGCCCUCCUGCUUUCAUGAAGCAUAAAUUAAAGGAAACAAUAAUCAAUCCUUCGAGUUCGAUCCCACUUUAUCAUACUGCAAUUGAAAAUAUAAGUGUUCAUCUGAGUUUAAAUAUUAUGAUAUGCACGCCGUACUAACUCAAUUUAAUAUAUUUUUCAAGGCAAAAGCCAAUUGCUUCAGCAAUCACGUGGACGAAUCCGCUCCGUACUCAGUUUGCAAAUCCGGGAUUCAAAAAGUAUGUAGACACGGGAUACGAAAUAACUCCUACCGUAUGUGAACUUGGUAAAGAAGCGUAUUUACCCUUUGUUCAAUUGCAACAGAUUGAAUUGUUGCAAUGAACACAUCAACCGGAAACAAAAAGAAUAUAUUAAAUCGAUUUAGGUAGAAAAGUGUUGAACAUA
Molecule: long non-coding RNA, 2583 nt
Organism: Mya arenaria
Lineage: Eukaryota; Metazoa; Mollusca; Bivalvia; Myida; Myidae
Exons: 7
Source: RefSeq, a predicted model, not a curated record